GACGAACGCUGGCGGCGUGCUUAACACAUGCAAGUCGAACGGAAAGGCCCUGCUUUCGGGGUGCUCGCGUGUGGAACAGGGGAGUAACACACGUGAGUUCCCUGCUCCAGUUUUUGGGAAGCCUUGGAAACACUGGCUAAAAUCGCGGAUAGGCGAUCUUGAUUGUGGGGGGGGGAUAGAUAGUUUGGGCGGUGUGGGAUGGACUCGCGGCUUAUCAGCUUGUUGGUGGGGUAGUGGCUUACCAAGGCAGUGGCGGGUAGCCGGCCUGAGAGGGUGGCCGGCCACAUUGGGACUGAGAUACGGCCCAGACUCCUACGGGAGGCAGCAGUGGGGAAUAUUGCACAAUGGGCGGAAGCCUGAUGCAGCAACGCCGCGUGCGGGAUGACGGCCUUCGGGUUGUAAACCGCUUUCGCUAGUGACGAAGCUUUUGUGACGGUGACGAGUAAAGAAGCACCGGCUAACUACGUG
Molecule: ribosomal RNA, 468 nt
Filed under: uncultured bacterium
Lineage: Bacteria
Description: partial 16S ribosomal RNA
Rfam family: Bacterial small subunit ribosomal RNA
Source: RNAcentral